GGCGAGAUAGCUCAGCGGUUGAGAGCACUGACUGCUCUUCCAGAGGACCUGGGUUCAAUUCCCAGCACCU
Molecule: transfer RNA, 70 nt
Filed under: Neotoma lepida (desert woodrat)
Lineage: Eukaryota; Metazoa; Chordata; Mammalia; Rodentia; Cricetidae
Rfam family: tRNA
About the family: Transfer RNA (tRNA) molecules are approximately 80 nucleotides in length. Their secondary structure includes four short double-helical elements and three loops (D, anti-codon, and T loops). Further hydrogen bonds mediate the characteristic L-shaped molecular structure. tRNAs have two regions of fundamental functional importance: the anti-codon, which is responsible for specific mRNA codon recognition, and the 3' end, to which the tRNAs corresponding amino acid is attached (by aminoacyl-tRNA synthetases). tRNAs cope with the degeneracy of the genetic code in two manners: having more than one tRNA (with a specific anti-codon) for a particular amino acid; and 'wobble' base-pairing, i.e. permitting non-standard base-pairing at the 3rd anti-codon position.
Source: Rfam by way of RNAcentral